RNAcentral lists this unclassified non-coding RNA (253 nucleotides) under Alphaproteobacteria bacterium. RNAcentral describes it as "partial 16S ribosomal RNA". It matches the Rfam family "Bacterial small subunit ribosomal RNA", at positions 524 to 776 of the family's 1533-position model. The record is from RNAcentral. Lineage: Bacteria; Pseudomonadati; Pseudomonadota; Alphaproteobacteria. RNAcentral also lists the same sequence under 1 other name.
GACGGAGGGGGCUAGCGUUGUUCGGAAUUACUGGGCGUAAAGCGCGCGUAGGCGGUGCAGCAAGUCAAGCGUGAAAGCCCGGGGCUCAACUCCGGAAUUGCGCUCGAAACUGCUGUACUAGAGUUCGGGAGAGGAGAGUGGAAUUCCCAGUGUAGAGGUGAAAUUCGUAGAUAUUGGGAAGAACACCAGUGGCGAAGGCGGCUCUCUGGCCCGAUACUGACGCUGAGGUGCGAAAGCGUGGGGAGCAAACAGG